Long non-coding RNA from Mesocricetus auratus (golden hamster), 524 nucleotides. RefSeq lists it as uncharacterized. The transcript is spliced from 3 exons. NCBI's taxonomy places the organism in Eukaryota, Metazoa, Chordata, Mammalia, Rodentia, Cricetidae. The record is from RefSeq and is a predicted model, not a curated record.
GGAGCGAUUUUCUGAGCUGUCAGUUGGUAGGUUAUUUCUUCUCUUCCUGUUUUAACUGAAGGCUUAGCAAACACACUUCACAGGAUGUGACUUGAGAAAGACAAGUUUCUUCAACUUUCUGCAGUGUUGCUCAUUUUGAGUAGGACUCUGAGCAGUGUUAGUUUUGGCAGGGAAGAAGGGAGGCAUGGAGAAGGAGAAAGAAGGACGAAGAGGAAGAAAAGUUGAGGGGCUUGAAACCCCCAUCUGAGCUAUAAACUGCGUGUUGAUAAUAUCCGCAAAUGUUCCGCAUCUCUGUGGUGUGUGGGAGUGGCUUUCAUGCCGGUCACCGCACAUACUAGUACGCCGCUCUCUUGUUCCCUGCAUUGCGCAUUUGAUGCUCAGUUCUCAGGAUGCUUCAAAGUAAAGUGGAUCGUUGCAGCUCUUCCUCCGACCGACCGCAACCGGUGUACUAUUAUUUCUGGUGGUUUCACAGAAACUCCUGUUUUCGUUGGGAAAUAGAAACGAAAUAAAGAUGUUAAUCUCUG